AUACGGAGGAUGCAAGCGUUAUCCGGAUUUAUUGGGUUUAAAGGGUGCGUAGGCGGUUUGCUAAGCGGGAGGUGAAAUGCCGGCGCUCAACGUCGGAAGUGCCUCCCGAACUGGUGGACUGGAAUGACUCUGCCGUGGGAGGAAUGUGUAGUGUAGCGGUGAAAUGCUUAGAGAUUACACAGAACACCGAUUGCGAAGGCAUCUCACGAAGGGUUGAUUGACGCUGAGGCACGAAAGCGUGGGGAUCAAACAGGAUUAGAUACCCUGGUAGUCCACGCAGUAAACGAUGAUGGCUAACCGCUGGUUUUUUCGGAUCAGUGGCCAAGCGAAAGCGAUAAGCCAUCCACCUGGGGAGUACGACCGCAAGGUUGAAACUCAAAGGAAUUGACGGGG
Molecule: ribosomal RNA, 393 nt
Filed under: uncultured bacterium
Lineage: Bacteria
Description: partial 16S ribosomal RNA
Rfam family: Bacterial small subunit ribosomal RNA
Source: RNAcentral